GACGAACCGUGCGAACGUUGUUCGGAAUCACUGGGCUUAAAGGGCGCGUAGGCGGGCUGCCAAGUCCGGGGUGAAAUCCUCCAGCUUAACUGGAGAACUGCCUCGGAUACUGGAAGUCUCGAGGAGGGUAGGGGCAAGUGGAACCGUGGGUGGAGCGGUGAAAUGCGUUGAUAUCCAUGGGAACUCCGGUGGCGAAGGCGACUUGCUGGACCCUUUCUGACGCUGAGGCUCGAAAGCCAGGGGAGCAAACGGG
This 253-nucleotide ribosomal RNA is filed under the name uncultured bacterium. RNAcentral's name for it is "partial 16S ribosomal RNA". It matches the Rfam family "Bacterial small subunit ribosomal RNA", at positions 524 to 776 of the family's 1533-position model. The record is from RNAcentral.